GCCAGCCGCCGCGGUAAUACCGGCAGCCCGAGUGGUGGCCGCGUUUAUUGGGCCUAAAGGGUCCGUAGCCGGUCGGGUAAGUUCCUCGGGAAACCUCGCCGCUCAACGGUGAGGCUUCCGGGGAAUACUGCCUGACUUGGGACCGGGAGGGGCCGGAGGUACUCCCGGGGUAGGGGUGAAAUCCGUUGAUCCCGGGAGGACCACCCGUAGCGAAGGCGUCCGGCUGGAACGGGUCCGACGGUGAGGGACGAAGGCCAGGGGCGCGAACCGGAUUAGAUACCCGGGUAGUCCUGGCUGUAAACGAUGCGGGCUUUGCGUCGGCACUGCCACGAGUGGUGCCGGUGUUGAAGGGAAGCCGUUAAGCCCGCCGCCUGGGGAGUACGGGCGCAAGCCUGAAACUUAAAGGAAUUGGCGGGGGAGCACUACAACGGGUGGAGCCUGCGGUUUAAUUGGAUUCAACACCGGGAAGCUUACCGGGGGAGACAGCGAGAUGAAGGUCGGGC
This 503-nucleotide ribosomal RNA is filed under the name uncultured archaeon. RNAcentral describes it as "bacterial SSU rRNA". It matches the Rfam family "Archaeal small subunit ribosomal RNA", at positions 457 to 959 of the family's 1478-position model. The record is from RNAcentral.